AUGGCUUAAACUUAUGAGUGGGGAAAAUAAUGAUUCUGAAUGACGCCUGAAUCCUCAGUGCUAAUGUGAGAAGCAUUUUUGAGUGGGUAAAAGUUGCCAGUAGGGUGACCCGCCUGCUUUGCGGGGUGCCUUGGAGUUGCAAUUUGCCUG
This is a small nuclear RNA of Suricata suricatta (meerkat), 150 nucleotides long. Its record names the gene U12. It matches the Rfam family "U12 minor spliceosomal RNA". Rfam says of the family: Although the U12 sequence is very divergent from that of U2, the two are functionally analogous. NCBI's taxonomy places the organism in Eukaryota, Metazoa, Chordata, Mammalia, Carnivora, Herpestidae. The record is from Ensembl.